GCACCUUCCGAUACGGCUACCUUGUUACGACUUUACCCCAGUCAUGAACCCUGCCGUGGCAGUCGCCCUCCUUGCGGUUAGGCUAACGGCUUCUGGCAAAACCCACUCCCAUGGUAUGACGGGCGGUGUGUACAAGACCCGGGAACGUAUUCACCGCGACAUUCUGAUCCGCGAUUACUAGCGAUUCCAGCUUCACGUAGUCGAGUUGCAGACCACGAUCCGGACUACGAUGCAUUUUCUGAGAUUAGCUCCCCCUCGCGGGUUGGCAACCCUCUGUAUGCACCAUUGUAUGACGUGUGAAGCCCUACCCAUAAGGGCCAUGAGGACUUGACGUCAUCCCCACCUUCCUCCGGUUUGUCACCGGCAGUCUCAUUAGAGUGCCCUUUCGUAGCAACUAAUGACAAGGGUUGCGCUCGUUGCGGGACUUAACCCAACAUCUCACGACACGAGCUGACGACAGCCAUGCAGCACCUGUGUUCCGGUUCUCUUGCGAGCACUCCCAAAUCUCUUCGGGAUUCCAGACAUGUCAAGGGUAGGUAAGGUUUUUCGCGUUGCAUCGAAUUAAUCCACAUCAUCCACCGCUUGUGCGGGUCCCCGUCAAUUCCUUUGAGUUUUAAUCUUGCGACCGUACUCCCCAGGCGGUCAACUUCACGCGUUAGCUGCGCUACUAAGGCCGAAGGC
Molecule: ribosomal RNA, 681 nt
Filed under: uncultured bacterium
Lineage: Bacteria
Description: partial 16S ribosomal RNA
Source: RNAcentral